GGCUUGUGUUCUUGUUUAAUAUCAACUCAGCAUUGAGGCCAUACAGUAGUUCAUAAAGACUUUUCAGUCAUAAAAUGUUCUUUAAAAAAAGUGAAUGCUAUUUCCUCUUUACCUUGAUGGCUUUCCAUUUCUUCUGCUGCAGCAGAGAUCAAGUCUUCCUGUUUACUUAGAUUUUCUUCUAGCACUGCAGCCUGGGUUAGAAGUGAUGGGCAUGGGCCUGGAAAUAAUGUAUUUCACUGAAUUGCAGAUGUAAAGAGAAUCUCAAUAGUAUUUAAGUAAAUUGUCAUCUGUAUGACUCAGUCAGAUCUUCUAAGAACCAGAAGCUUGUGUACAUGCUAAUUUAUUGGAUCACCAUUUCCCCAUCUGCCAUUUCAGGUUGAAUCUGCCAUUGGUAUACACUUUUUUUUUUUUUUCCCCAAAUAGCAGUGGUUGAAAAGAAAAACAAAACAAUUAAAAUUGGGGGUGAGGAAGACUGAGUUACAAUCUUUGCUGUUGAUCCUUUAUUUGAUUUGAGACAACAUUGUCCCCAUUAUUCUAAAGCAAAAUAGAAGGAGAAUAAAUCUGUGACAUCAUAGCACUUCUAGAUAAAAGCUCUUUUGUCAUCAUCUUGUAAAUGCACUUAAAAUGCUGAAGUAAUGGUCUCUGAACAGUGACACUGGCACAGCCUUACUGUGUGAUGCUAUAGUAUUAAUUUUUAAUUAGGGGACUUUAAGUUAUAUAUACAAAUAUAUAUAUACAUAUAUAUUUGUGUAUCAUCCUAAUGUUUUUUACUGUAAACAUUGCUCACUGAUCAGGAAUAGAUCUAGAGUCCUAUAGUAAGUACUACUGAAAAAGAAGGAGCAAGAAAAUUCUACUUGUUUUGGAAAAGUCUGUCAGCAUUCUAACAAAAUAGGGCAAAACAUUAUCCCUUACAACUUAAUCUGAAUUUUAUUUGGAGCAUGGCUUAUCUUAUGAAAGAUAACCAAUGCUCUAAAAUGUGGGACUGAUUCUCAGCUGCUCUUAGUCAACAUUCAUCUACUGCUUUGUGGAUGGCCUGGUAUCCUUAAAGAUGCCAAGUCUAUGUCUUAGACUUUAGAUUUUAUGAAAAGGUGUGUGGCUGCUUAAUAGUUGAGCACACUCAACACAUGCAAGAAAAGAGUUCUUUCUGUCUCUGUCUGUAAGUCUGGUCUGUUUAUGCCCUAUUCUGGCUCAACCUGUCUCCGGUGAUGCCAUGUUACAAGCUCCAAAGGAAAGUUUUUUUUCUGUAAACAACUCUUCACAGCUAAAUCAGGAAACAGUGGACAGCAACACAUUAUCUUCCUCACCUGUAUAAGUCCUCACUUCAGUCAGCUCCAUCCUCCCCUCUCUUACUAAUUUCUAAUCUGUUCUAGUAUUUUUGAUCUCUGUGUCUCUUCACAUGGAAUCUUUUGCAGCUCCUCUAAUUUUUAGCAUCUCUUCAUGGAGUCAGUCCUCUUCAACAUCAUUUGCUCUGAGACAAUCACCCAGGAUACGCCACAGGUGUUUAAAGCUUGACUUCCAAGCUUUACUUCUCUCCCAACAGUGUGUCCUUACAGUAUGUCUUUGCUUUUUAGCCAUCCCAUGAGUAGGCCCGUGGUCAUCUCUGGGAUAUUUUUCCUUUGUGAUUACAGCUCAUCUCAAAGGAACAUGUGUUACAGCCAAGCAAAGCCAUGCAGCCUUGCUGCUGGCACACACGUCCUCCUUUCCCCAGUGCUCCAGCUGGGGAUGUGGUCAGGCUGCCGGUGCAUGAGAUCACAUCCAGCAGGGCUACUCCCUGGAAGCCAAAGUGUUGCUUAGUAACCCACUCAUGGAAGUACCAGAAGCAUUUUUCAAUCUGUCACAUUGGCAAAGAACACUGGCUUCUUGAUUUAGAGGCAUUCUGCUGUGCGUGGCAGGGCCAUGCUCCAUUAUCUUGCAUCCAGCGCUAUCUGCAAGCAAGGAGAUGAACCUCCCAUUUAAUGGAGGGGCUGGGAGAAGGUGGGGGUGUGAGGCACAGAAAAUAUUUUCCUAGGAACAUGAAGCUUUUAGCUGGUUCUCCUGGCAUCUAGUCCUCAACUUAACUCAUUUCCCAUGGGAGAUAUUCUCUGCUUAUGAAAUGCACUCCAGGGUCCUAUAGCAAUUGGCCAAACAGGACCCUGCAGCACCUUCAUCUAUUAUGAGACAUUACUGCAAUAAAACUUGGUGUGUCAUACAGAAACCGGAUGAGGUAUUGCAAUAUUUAUGCUGUAAGCCUCAGUGUCAUGGACAAUUGCUACAGAAUAAUGUAUGUUUUUUCUUAAUGCAGUGGAGUCACAGCAGCUUCAGCAGAGCACACUGAACACAGAUAGUCUGUGAUUGCAUGGUUUCCUCAGAUAUUUUCAAAUUAUUCUGUUACAGACGCUUAAAUGGAAAAUAUCCUUUCAUUAAAAAUAGAUGGUAAAAGCUCUUAGGUUACUCCCCCUUUUAGGAAUAAUUCAGUCUGAAAGUAAAACAUCCAAAAACCGGGUUCUGACUUGAGGGGCUUACUUCUUUAUCUGACACCGGUGUAUCAUUAAAAAUGGCUUCAAAAAGUAACUUGAGGGCUUUUAUUUGAGGUACCUUGUUGAUUUUGCUAUCACAUCUCUUCAUUUUGGAAAUGAAAAGAUAUUUUAAACAAUGUCUAGCUUUGAGCUCUGGGGACCAGCUGGACUCUUCCCAUCCUACUUCUUAUUGUAGAACAGUAGAACCAUAGAGUGUGUCCAGCCAUGGCAUCACCCAUUUCUGUGGGCUUGCCUCCUGUUGACAGAUUGUGUCCUGGAAGCCCUCUGCAAAAAACUGAAGGGCUUUUAUAUGGGUUGUUGAAGAUCCAGGGUGGUCUGAAGAUGUGGUUGUUAGACAAAUGUACCCAAGGUCUCUUUUGGUCUUUGGAGUGUCAUUUUACUGGGAUGGUGCUCAGUGCUGCAGUGAUGAAAUCAGCAAGUUGCAUCACAUAUUUUGUGUAAGGCCUUGUCAGUGCAAGGCCAGUGACAUGCACAAUACUCACGUGCUAAAGCUUGGCUUUGCAUAAAGAUGAAAAAACAUCCCACAGUUUUGGAAGCUCCUGACUUAAUUUCUGAAAACUUUUUGAGGAGAUGAGUACCUUCCUGUGCUCUUUCCCAGUCUAAUAAAUAAAUUUGGCUAUGGGAUAAAGAGUCCUUCAAAUUUAUUGUAUGUAGUUGUAUUUUUAUUGCACAUAGUUUAAGAAAUACAGAAAGUAGCCCAAAAAUGCUCUUGAUGACUGGCCAGCAUAAAAGCAUUUGAUGAUCUGCUGUGGAUCCCAGAGCAGAAUUUUCUACAUCACAGAAAUAUUCUGAAUGAACUGUUUUCUACAGGGGGCAGGGAGCAUUCUUGGUAGGGAAGCAAAGACUGUGAAGAUUCUAACUUUUAGAACUGGCUGUGCCAGCUCAGAACUGAUGGAAAGCUUGCCAUUGUGAUGCUUUGCUCUGUGGAAAAGGAUUCAGAGAAGCACUAAGUGUACAAUGCAUUAUUGUUUUAAAAGAAUCAGGGUAUCUGUUUCCAGUCUUCUAAUACAUUAACCUUGAAGUUUGUUCAUAAUUAAAUAGUCUAGCCCUACCAGUUAGGCAUCGAAGCAAGAGACUUGUUGUGAAGACAGUGGGCUAGGGAAGAGCAGGUGUACUGGAUAACCUUUGGGCAAUACUGAGAAAGCACAUCCACUCCCUGCACUCACAGGGGAGGACACCUCUUUCUUUGCACUUACUGCACAUUCUGCAUCUUAAAAUUGUUCGAAGUAAGAACCAUUUUAGAGCAACUGAGUUAGCUACAAAGCAGAAGAUGUUCCACUGGCAUUAAUUCUUGUUGUUUAGGUUUGGGGGUUUCUAUCUGCUCAUAUACUCACAGCCUUCUUUUCAACAUUUGAGGAUGCUAUAGAUUACUUCUAUCUCACCUAAUUGGGAUCUACCUGCCCUUAUGGUAACAACAAAUUGUGGGUUGGAAGCUGCCCCACUUCCUGGCUGUACAUACCACCAUCUAUACAACAUGUAGUGUAUGUUGAGUGAUUGCAUUGUAGUGGCUUUUGUAAUGCAAUAACUGUGGUGUCAAGAAAAUGUGGUUGGAGAAAACUUUGCUUACAAAUUAACAUGAAUAGAAAAUCAAAGUCAUUGAAAAGACAGUACAGAUGAAGAAUUCUUACUGUGAGCCACCACCGUGUGUCCCACAAUAUGCCAGCUUCUGUAUCUUCUAAAUAGUCUUUUAUCCUCUUUGCAGCAGAAGUGAAAUUUAAUUUUGUGUCUGUACUCUGAACUGGAGACAUUGGUACUCAGUCUUUUCAUAAUGUGCUGAUGAAUUGAAACACUCACCUUGUCAUGCCAGCUUCCAUAGCUUCCCACCAAAAUAAUGCAAUGCCAGUUGGUGAAUAGCCUGGAGGAGUUUUGGGUGCUGACUGAAGCAUGCCAUUGAAAUUUUGGUCUGCAGGAACACAAGGUUUUGUAUUGAUGUUUGUAAAAAAACCCAGCAGUCUCAGAUGAACCCAAAUGUUCUAUUAGUCACAUGGCAGGUACAGAGAAAAGUCAAAACAACUGAGUGAGGGGAAAAAAAUAAGGGGUUCUGCCUGAAGAAAACCCUAUAUACCACUCUCAUUUCAGAGGAAAAAUCCUUCUGUGACCAGUCCAGGGUGACAAGUAGUUAGGCUCAAAGUCUGGAAAGACCCAUUUCUGUAGUGUGUUUGUCACUGUGUCUUUGGUUAUGCACACGUACCAGAAUAGGAGAAAAUGCCUGUCUUUCUUUCAAAUUCCUUUUCAGCUUUGUACACUGCCUCCAGGUUGCCUGUUGCUGCACCCCAUGAGGCCUCAUUGGAGUGUGCACUACCUUGCUUGGUAUUUGUUUACUUUUGGCGGCCACAGACUAAGGUUACAGGUUUGGGAACCAGUACAUAAUUGUAAGGACAGCUUCGUGUGUUAGUUUUCCCCCCCCCCCCUCAUCUUUUGUAAAGUGUGAACCUUUCUUUGGAAUUCUGAAGUGACUGUAUCGUUGCAAUGUUUGUAUGUAGAGAUUUGUUUUAACAUGGCUUGUGUGAAGGAUCUUUGCUCUUCUUAUCUCACAUUCAAUUUUAUUAAGUGCUUGAUAGCUUUGCCAGCCUUCUGUGGGGGAGGAGAGGUGAUGGGGUGGCUUCAAAACUUGGCUUUUUUUUAAGGGAAAUUUGCCCAGCUUUGCCUAGAGCAGCAUGAGAAUCUGGGGUGCUCCUGACUGUUCUUCAGUCAUCCUGAUCUGAUUGCUUCUUGGAAAAAGAGAUCAGCCUUGAAACUCUCAGAAAAAAACAAAUUGUUGAAUGCACUAGGCCAGCACUGACCAAGAAGGCCCAUCAGUUUGUCAUGCAUGGAAACCUGCAUGGUGUUUCACCCCGCCAGAAGGUGUCUGUUGAGCACAGAGUGAAUCAUGGAAACUCACACUGCUCUGCGGAUGCCAACGGAGCCACCACAGCUUGCACCAGCCAAGGAUCGGCCCUUCCGUGUUUUGGUGGUUAGGAAACCUGUGAGCGAAAUCCCGCUGAGGUUUGAGAGGAGAGGAAAAUGGGUGUUGGAGACCUCUCAACUUUGCAGGAUUUCUUUGGUAUUCAUACAUAUUUGCAAGAAUGUAUUCCAAGCAUCUUGUACUGUUAUUAGUAACUUGUACUGUAGUUUGUUAGAAGUGUUGACUACCUACAUAGCUAAUAUUCUGUUGCAACUUAGAAAAUGUGUAAACAACUGCAGAAAACAGGAGUUUAGAACUUGUAUGUACUGUUUUUUUUAUAUUAAAGCACUUCAAUUAAAAGUUCAAGGAGAAAUGCUUCUGUAGCCUUUGUAUCUUUUUGGAUAACAGAUGAGUGGAAAGAGAUGGGA
Molecule: long non-coding RNA, 5828 nt
Organism: Taeniopygia guttata (zebra finch)
Lineage: Eukaryota; Metazoa; Chordata; Aves; Passeriformes; Estrildidae
Source: Ensembl